AUUCAGAGAAACCAAAGAAAGAGGUCUCAGAAAAGAGAGAGCCUAACCUCACCGCCGAAGCUCGCUGUAGCGGUCACUGCCGCCCUCGCCGCCGCAGUUCAGAUCAAGGCUCACGAACUCGCUCUUUGACUCAGAUCCUUCUUGCAGCUCCGAUCUGCUCCUUCAGAUAUCGCCGAGUCGACUCGUUCGCAGCUUCAAUUUAUUGUGCUCUCUCUUACAACUCCUUCAUUUCAUUCUCUUACAAUAGUAGAUGAACUCCAGGGACAUAAUGUCAUACUUAGGGACUUCAUUGAGCAACUAACAGCUAUAGAAUCAUCUAGAGCUAGCCUUGUAUCUCAUCUGAGAGAGGCUUUACAGGAACAGGAAUUCAAGCUGGGUCAACUCCGAAGCUAGAUUCAGGUGGGAGUUCAAGAUCUUAUUGGUCAACAAAAAAUAAAAUGGAGAUUGAGCAUGAGGCUGAUCAAGAAAGAUGCUUUUUUUCCUUCUAUUGGGAAGCCAUUUGACAAAGAAGAAGCAUUUCUAAUAGAUGAUAAAGCAUGGUUGCAAACCCAUUGAUAUGUGCUCUUUAAUUGUGCUUCUAAAGUGGUUGAAGAUUAUAGAAAUGAACAUGUUAGUGAGAUUAAGAGAACACAUCGCAAGCGCCGCCUUUCUCCACAUCAACUUGAUCGCUUGCAUUUUAUUUCAUUUCAUGAAUGGUUCAAGGAUGAAAUUAACAAGUUGGAUAUCACAUUUGGUACGCAAAGUGAUAUAAGAACCCUUUUACGAGGUCCAAGUUACAUUGCAAAACGAUUCAAAGGUUUUGAUUUGAACAAUGGGUAUUGAUUUCGAACAAAGAAGCAUGAAGAGUCUAAGGCAACACAAAAUUCUGGUGUCAUGGUUGUCUCAAAGGUGAUUAGCUAUGCAAGUGCAAGUGAUAAUGCUCCCAAGUUGGGAAAUAUCAAUUAUUAUGGAAGAUUGACUGAUAUUAUAGAGUUAAAUUACUUUGAAGAAUUUAAGGUUGUCUUGUUUAAAGUGACUGGGUUGACAUAACCAAAGGUAGAGGAGUUAAGAAAGAUUACUUGAGUUUCACAUUAGUGAACUUUUCACGCUUAAUACAUACCGGUGAUCAAGAGAGUGAUGAAUCUUUUGUAUUUACAAACCAAGCUCAACAAGUGAUAUUUGUGAAAGAUCCUCAUGAUCAUGAAUGGUUUAUCCCUAGGCUAAUUAGUUCUCGAGACAUAUAUAAUAUGGGAGAAAAGAAAAUCAUGCAGUUUGAGCAAUUAAUGCAAAAUGAUAAUGGUGACUUAAUUUUGUUAGAAGAAAUUCGUCACUUUGAGGAUGAGAAUAAUGAUUGGGUUAGAAGUGGGGUUAAUGGAAUAGUAAUUGAUUAUGGACAUUCACCAAAUCAAACUGAUGACAAUUUUGAGUAAGUUAGGUAAUAUUUUGAGAA
This is a non-coding RNA of Arachis ipaensis, 1429 nucleotides long. The record is from RefSeq and is a predicted model, not a curated record. Lineage: Eukaryota; Viridiplantae; Streptophyta; Magnoliopsida; Fabales; Fabaceae.